AUCUUGCUCUAACAAGGUGUUCAUUAAUCUAAAGAUUCUUCGUUUUCAUACUCAUGUGUGAGAUGUGUCUCUCAAACUUUGUGAAAAGUCAGCACAUGACCCAUCUGAUG
This is a small nucleolar RNA of Papio anubis (olive baboon), 110 nucleotides long. The record is from Ensembl. Lineage: Eukaryota; Metazoa; Chordata; Mammalia; Primates; Cercopithecidae.